UGCUGGAGGUAUCAGAAGUGCGAAUGCUGACAUAAGUAACGAUAAAGCGGGUGAAAAGCCCGCUCGCCGGAAGACCAAGGGUUCCUGUCCAACGUUAAUCGGGGCAGGGUGAGUCGACCCCUAAGGCGAGGCCGAAAGGCGUAGUCGAUGGGAAACGGGUUAAUAUUCCCGUACUUGGUGUUACUGCGAAGGGGGGACGGAGAAGGCUAUGUUGGCCGGGCGACGGUUGUCCCGGUUUAAGCGUGUAGGCUGGUUUUCCAGGCAAAUCCGGAAAAUCAAGGCUGAGGCGUGAUGACGAGGCACUACGGUGCUGAAGCAACAAAUGCCCUGCUUCCAGGAAAAGCCUCUAAGCAUCAGGUAACAUCAAAUCGUACCCCAAACCGACACAGGUGGUCAGGUAGAGAAUACCAAGGCGCUUGAGAGAACUCGGGUGAAGGAACUAGGCAAAAUGGUGCCGUAACUUCGGGAGAAGGCACGCUGACACGUAGGUGAAGUGAUUUACUCAYGGAGCUGAAGUCAGUCGAAGAUACCAGCUGGCUGCAACUGUUUAUUAAAAACACAGCACUGUGCAAACACGAAAGUGGACGUAUACGGUGUGACGCCUGCCCGGUGCCGGAAGGUUAAUUGAUGGGGUCAGCGCAAGCGAAGCUCCUGAUCGAAGCCCCGGUAAACGGCGGCCGUAACUAUAACGGUCCUAAGGUAGCGAAAUUCCUUGUCGGGUAAGUUCCGACCUGCACGAAUGGCGUAAUGAUGGCCAGGCUGUCUCCACCCGAGACUCAGUGAAAUUGAACUCGCUGUGAAGAUGCAGUGUACCCGCGGCAAGACGGAAAGACCCCGUGAACCUUUACUAUAGCUUGACACUGAACAUUGAGCCUUGAUGUGUAGGAUAGGUGGGAGGCUUUGAAGCGUGGACGCCAGUCUGCGUGGAGCCGACCUUGAAAUACCACCCUUUAAUGUUUGAUGUUCUAACGUGGAYCCGURAUCCGGGUUGCGGACAGUGUCUGGUGGGUAGUUUGACUGGGGCGGUCUCCUCCUAAAGAGUAACGGAGGAGCACGAAGGUUGGCUAAUCCUGGUCGGACAUCAGGAGGUUAGUGCAAUGGCAUAAGCCAGCUUGACUGCGAGCGUGACGGCGCGAGCAGGUGCGAAAGCAGGUCAUAGUGAUCCGGUGGUUCUGAAUGGAAGGGCCAUCGCUCAACGGAUAAAAGGUACUCCGG
This 1215-nucleotide ribosomal RNA is filed under the name Salmonella enterica subsp. enterica serovar Infantis. Its description in RNAcentral is "partial 23S ribosomal RNA". Lineage: Bacteria; Pseudomonadati; Pseudomonadota; Gammaproteobacteria; Enterobacterales; Enterobacteriaceae. The record is from RNAcentral.